Molecule: unclassified non-coding RNA, 603 nt
Filed under: Hevea brasiliensis (rubber tree)
Lineage: Eukaryota; Viridiplantae; Streptophyta; Magnoliopsida; Malpighiales; Euphorbiaceae
Source: RNAcentral
CAUCACAUAUGCAUUUCCUGGAGAGAGUGUUGGAUGAGCUCCACUAGCUGCAUAUGUGAUGUAUGAUGGCGAAGGCACAAGGGCACAUCCACCACCCCAACCGAACUUCCAACAAAGUGGUUAUCCUCCAUCCAGCUUCCCUCCCCAAAAUCAGCAGCCUGCCCCCAGUCCAAAUCUGAUGGUUCGUCCACCUCAGCAGGUGCGCAACCAUCCGUACAAUGAGUUGAUUGAGAAACUAGUGAGCAUGGGCUACCGUGGUGAUCAUGUUGUUAAUGUGAUCCAAAGGCUCGAGGAAAGUGGCCAGCCUGUUGAUUUCAAUGCCAUCCUGGACAGGAUGAAUGGACAUUCAUCUGGUGGUCCUCAGAGAGGAUGGUGAGGUUAAAUGAUCGGGCCCCAAUCUUUCUAGUAACGUUCCAUGAAUGGUCUGAGAAACUAAAGAGUUGUAGUACAUGUGACUCAAACACUAUCUAUUGCUGAAUAAGGAGUCAUGUUGGUAGCGUGGAAUCUGGUGUAUAUGAGAUCUUUAGAUGCAUUGUAUAUUUGUCAAGUCUUCUGAAGCUUUGUUAUUUUACCUGCAAACUUCUGAAGCUCUCGUAUUAGUUG